GACGAACCGUGCGAACGUUAUUCGGAGUCACUGGGCUUAAAGCGCGUGUAGGCGGCCCGGCACGUCCGUCGCUGAAAUCCCCCGGCUCAACCGGGGAAGUGGCGUGGAUACGACCGGGCUGGAGGGGGGUAGGGGGAGCCGGAACUUCCGGUGGAGCGGUGAAAUGCGUUGAGAUCGGAAGGAACGCCCGUGGCGAAAGCGGGCUCCUGGACCCCACCUGACGCUGAGACGCGAAAGCCAGGGGAGCGAACGGG
This 254-nucleotide ribosomal RNA is filed under the name uncultured bacterium. RNAcentral's name for it is "partial 16S ribosomal RNA". It matches the Rfam family "Bacterial small subunit ribosomal RNA", at positions 524 to 776 of the family's 1533-position model. The record is from RNAcentral.